AACGAACGCUGGCGGCAUGCCUAACACAUGCAAGUCGAACGAGACCUUCGGGUCUAGUGGCGCACGGGUGCGUAACGCGUGGGAACCUGCCCUUAGGUUCGGAAUAACUCCCCGAAAGGGGUGCUAAUACCGGAUAAUGUCUUCGGACCAAAGAUUUAUCGCCUUUGGAUGGGCCCGCGUUGGAUUAGCUAGUUGGUAGGGUAAAAGCCUACCAAGGCGACGAUCCAUAGCUGGUCUGAGAGGAUGAUCAGCCACACUGGGACUGAGACACGGCCCAGUCUCCUACGGGAGGCAGCAGUGGGGAAUAUUGGACAAUGGGCGAAAGCCUGAUCCAGCAAUGCCGCGUGAGUGAUGAAGGCCUUAGGGUUGUAAAGCUCUUUUACCCGGGAUGAUAAUGACAGUACCGGGAGAAUAAGCACCGGCUAACUCCGUG
Molecule: ribosomal RNA, 433 nt
Filed under: uncultured bacterium
Lineage: Bacteria
Description: partial 16S ribosomal RNA
Rfam family: Bacterial small subunit ribosomal RNA
Source: RNAcentral